Molecule: long non-coding RNA, 403 nt
Organism: Rattus norvegicus (Norway rat)
Lineage: Eukaryota; Metazoa; Chordata; Mammalia; Rodentia; Muridae
Source: RefSeq, a predicted model, not a curated record
AGAGAACAGAAAUGCCUGUCAUAGAGCAGACCCUAAGAAAGAAGUGCAUUGGAAUGAGCUGACAGUCCUCAGCUUGGCUGCAGAUGGCUGCAGCUCAAGGAACACACUCUGGAACUACAAGUGCGGUGUGACACCAUCCCUCCUCUUUUAUGAAUCUGGAGAUUAAACUUCAGUCUUCAUGCUUGCAGAACAAGCACUUCUCUGACUGAACAUCUUACCAAUCCGGGUCCUGAUAAUACCAACCUAGCAACCAGUCCACAGCCUCAUCCAUGCAAAAACUCAAAACAACUCAGAGCAACUGUCAGAAGUUUCAGUUCUACACAGAAAUUAAGAUCUACAGUAAUGCCUAUAUCUGAAAAUAUUUUUUCUCCAUCUUUAUUAAAUUGGGUAUUUCUUAUUUACA